This 430-nucleotide ribosomal RNA is filed under the name uncultured bacterium. RNAcentral's name for it is "bacterial SSU rRNA". It matches the Rfam family "Bacterial small subunit ribosomal RNA", at positions 917 to 1345 of the family's 1533-position model. The record is from RNAcentral.
GGACCCGCACAAGUAGUGGAGCAUGUGGUUUAAUUCGAAGAUACGCGCAGAACCUUACCAACACUUGACAUGUUCGUCGCGACUUUAAGAGAUUAAAGUGUUCGGUUCGGCCGGACGAAACACAGGUGCUGCAUGGCUGUCGUCAGCUCGUGUCGUGAGAUGUUGGGUUAAGUCCCGCAACGAGCGCAACCCUCACUUUUAGUUGCCAUCAUUAAGUUGGGCACUCUGAAAGAACUGCCAGUGAUAAGCUGGAGGAAGGUGGGGAUGACGUCAAGUCCUCAUGGCCCUUACGUGUUGGGCUACACACGUGCUACAAUGGUAUCUACAACAGGAAGCAAGACUGCGACGUUUAGCAAAUCCUUAAAAGAUACCUCAGUUCGGAUUGCACUCUGCAACUCGAGUGCAUGAAGCUGGAAUUACUAGUAAUCGU